AUUGCUCUUCUCAGCAAGUGGGUUUACAAAUUACUCUCUGAGAAUGGGGUAUGGCAGGAAAUCAUUCGCAACAAGUAUGUGGGAUCCAAUGCCAUUUCUCAAGUUCAUUGGAAACCCGGGGAUUGGCAUUUUUGGAGUGGCGUGAUGAAGGCCAAGGAAUUCUUUUUCCAAUUCGGGACCUUCUCGGUUAGGGAUGGUUCUCAGGUUCGCUUCUGGGAAGACACCUGGCUAGGGAACAACCCACUAAUGCUGCAAUAUCCGAGCUUGUACAGGAUUGUCAGACAUAAAUUUGUCACGAUCAAACAAGUUUUAGGACAACAAAACCCUGAUAUUUCUUUCCGUAGGGACCUUCUUGGCCCUCGCCUGGCAGCAUGGAAU
This 378-nucleotide ribosomal RNA is filed under the name Triticum aestivum (bread wheat). Its description in RNAcentral is "partial small subunit ribosomal RNA". The record is from RNAcentral. Lineage: Eukaryota; Viridiplantae; Streptophyta; Magnoliopsida; Poales; Poaceae.